GAGUAAACCUCCCAAAUUCCAGGUGUCUCCUAUCUACCAGAUGUUUCUUUUUUUUAUCCUAUAGAAGUUAUUCUGGGAGCCACUGCUUUGUAUAAAUUAUUAAAUGUUUGUCACAGCAACAAUUUUCACUCAGCUGGAAUGACGUGACAUCAAAUACCCUCCCUGUGGUCACAUAAAUAUUCAAUUGGUGUGAAAUAGGCUUUGGGAGAGCAGAGAUUUGAAUUAUUUCUUAUACUUUCCAGAACCUUCAUAGUGAUACUUUGGUACUGGUAGAUGCAGUUCCAUUAACAACGAAGGAAAAGGGGAGGAAAACCUAGGACUGAAUGCCCAGGUAUGGGUGGGGUGCAGACAGAUAAAUCCAAGGCCAGAAAGGCUCAGAAAAUAAACAUUUGAGGUUUUUAAAAUUUUAAUAUCCCUAAUAUCUUAUCUCUCCCUUACUCUGCUGAUUGUUAAAACAGGGCCUUGUUGAUUCCUAGAGGACAAAAUUCAUGGAUCAAAACAGUAUGCAGUUUUAAAACUGUUCUUUUCAAUUACUUGUAACUGGAUUAUUUUCUAGUUUCAGCAGCUUCUGGUUAAAAAAAAAAAAAAAAAAAAGAAAAAAAUUUGGAGUAGCUCCUGCUAGCCACUGCCUUCUGCAAGCAAUAGUCUGCUUCCUAGCAAUUGUAAAAUCUACAUCCAUGUUAUUGUCACAUUACCUCUGUACUAUCUCUGUUACUUUCUCUAUCCAGGCCUGUAAAGGAGGCUACAUCAAUGCACUUCACGGGUGCUUCAAGUCCUGUCUCUGACCUUUUCUGAGGUGCAUAAAUCCAUCUCUGUGCAAAAUACGCCCUAGGUGCCAGCCUGAUACAGCUCCACAAGCACAGAGUUCGUGUGAGCAAUCCCCUGGGAAGGAGGAAGAACAGUGAGCUGUGUUCUAACAAUUCCUCAGGGUCAAGAUGAACUAAUGUGCGUUAUUACCAUUUUUCCUGUCAGACACCACCAGGGAAGAGGUCCAGUUUGCUUCAGAUAAAAUGUGAAAUAAGAAAACUGAGAUGCGUAACAGAAGAGAAAAAUCUCACAAUAUAGAAGCUUUCCUACCUGAAAAAUUUGUAUAGGUAUGU
This is a long non-coding RNA of Passer domesticus (house sparrow), 1100 nucleotides long. RefSeq lists it as uncharacterized. Lineage: Eukaryota; Metazoa; Chordata; Aves; Passeriformes; Passeridae. The transcript has 3 exons. The record is from RefSeq and is a predicted model, not a curated record.